AUUGAACGCUGGCGGAAUGCUUUACACAUGCAAGUCGAACGAUGAGACCUAGCUUGCUAGGUUGAUUAGUGGCGAACGGGUGAGUAAUGUAUCGGAACGUAUCCAAUAAUGGGGGAUAACUAACCGAAAGGUUAGCUAAUACCGCAUACGCCCUACGGGGGAAAGCAGGGGAUCUUCGGACCUUGCGUUAAUGGAGCGGCCGAUAUCUGAUUAGCUAGUUGGUGAGGUAAAGGCUCACCAAGGCGACGAUCAGUAGCUGGGCUGAGAGGACGACCAGCCACACUGGAACUGAGACACGGUCCAGACUCCUACGGGAGGCAGCAGUGGGGAAUUUUGGACAAUGGGCGAAAGCCUGAUCCAGCCAUUCCGCGUGAGUGAAGAAGGCCUUCGGGUUGUAAAGCUCUUUCGCAAGGGAAGAAAACUUACUUUCUAAUAAGGAGUGAGGUUGACGGUACCUUGAUAAGAAGCACCGGCUAACUACGUGCCAGCCGCCGCGGUAA
This 500-nucleotide ribosomal RNA is filed under the name uncultured bacterium. RNAcentral's name for it is "partial 16S ribosomal RNA". It matches the Rfam family "Bacterial small subunit ribosomal RNA", at positions 30 to 523 of the family's 1533-position model. The record is from RNAcentral.